This 810-nucleotide ribosomal RNA is filed under the name uncultured bacterium. RNAcentral's name for it is "bacterial SSU rRNA". It matches the Rfam family "Bacterial small subunit ribosomal RNA", at positions 1 to 809 of the family's 1533-position model. The record is from RNAcentral.
UUAGAGUUUGAUCCUGGCUCAGGAUGAACGCUAGCGGGAGGCUUAACACAUGCAAGUCGAGGGGCAGCACGAUGUAGCAAUACGUUGGUGGCGACCGGCGCACGGGUGAGUAACACGUAUGCAACCUACCCUGUACAGGGGGAUAACCCGGAGAAAUUCGGACUAAUACCGCAUAAUGAUAUUUGAGGGCAUCCUUAGAUAUUUAAAGCUUCGGUGGUACGGGAUGGGCAUGCGGAACAUUAGCUAGUUGGCAGGGUAAUGGCCUACCAAGGCAAUGAUGUUUAGGGGACCUGAGAGGGUGAUCCCCCACACUGGUACUGAGACACGGACCAGACUCCUACGGGAGGCAGCAGUGAGGAAUAUUGGUCAAUGGGCGGAAGCCUGAACCAGCCAUCCCGCGUGCAGGAAGACGGCCCUAUGGGUUGUAAACUGCUUUUCCAGGGGGCGAAACUUUCCGAUGUAUCGGGGUUUGACGGUACCCUGGGAAUAAGCAUCGGCUAACUCCGUGCCAGCAGCCGCGGUAAUACGGAGGAUGCGAGCGUUAUCCGGAUUUAUUGGGUUUAAAGGGUGUGUAGGCGGAUCGAUAAGUCAGUGGUGAAACCCUGCAGCUUAACUGUAGACUUGCCGUUGAUACUGUUGGUCUUGAGUGUGGUCAAGGUAGGCGGAAUGUGUAAUGUAGCGGUGAAAUGCUUAGAUAUUACACAGAACACCGAUUGCGAAGGCAGCUUACUGGGCCAUUACUGACGCUGAUGCACGAAAGCGUGGGGAUCGAACAGGAUUAGAUACUCUGGUAGUCCCAGCCCUAAACGA